AUACGGAGGAUCCAAGCGUUAUCCGGAUUUAUUGGGUUUAAAGGGAGCGUAGGUGGGAUAUUAAGUCAGCUGUGAAAGUUUGGGGCUCAACCUUAAAAUUGCAGUUGAUACUGGUUUCCUUGAGUACGGUACAGGUGGGCGGAAUUCGUGGUGUAGCGGUGAAAUGCUUAGAUAUCACGAAGAACUCCGAUCGCGAAGGCAGCUCACCGGGCCGGAACUGACACUGAUGCUCGAAAGUGCGGGUAUCAAACAGGAUUAGAUACCCUGGUAGUCCGCACAGUAAACGAUGAAUACUCGCUGUUUGCGAUACACGGUAAGCGGCCAAGCGAAAGCGUUAAGUAUUCCACCUGGGGAGUACGCCGGCAACGGUGAAACUCAAAGGAAUUGACGGGG
This 393-nucleotide ribosomal RNA is filed under the name uncultured bacterium. Its description in RNAcentral is "partial 16S ribosomal RNA". It matches the Rfam family "Bacterial small subunit ribosomal RNA", at positions 523 to 918 of the family's 1533-position model. The record is from RNAcentral.